Molecule: transfer RNA, 67 nt
Filed under: Rhodospirillaceae bacterium
Lineage: Bacteria; Pseudomonadati; Pseudomonadota; Alphaproteobacteria; Rhodospirillales; Rhodospirillaceae
Description: tRNA-Arg
Source: RNAcentral
UUUAUUCAGGUAGAAUACUUGCCCUCUAAGCGACGUGUUGCAGGUUAGGGUCCUGCAGGGGGCGCCA